Molecule: ribosomal RNA, 465 nt
Filed under: uncultured bacterium
Lineage: Bacteria
Description: partial 16S ribosomal RNA
Rfam family: Bacterial small subunit ribosomal RNA
Source: RNAcentral
GACGAACGCUGGCGGCGUGCUUAACACAUGCAAGUCGAACGGAAAGGCCCCUUUGGGGGUACUCGAGUGGCGAACGGGUGAGUAACACGUGAGUAACCUGCCCUUGACUUCGGGAUAACUUCAGGAAACUGGGGCUAAUACCGGAUAGGAAUCCUUGCUGCAUGGUGGGGGUUGGAAAGCUUCGGCGGUUUUGGAUGGACUCGCGGCUUAUCAGCUUGUUGGUGGGGUAGUGGCUUACCAAGGCUUUGACGGGUAGCCGGCCUGAGAGGGCGACCGGCCACAGUAGGACUGAGAUACGGCCCAGACUCCUACGGGAGGCAGCAGUGGGGAAUAUUGCACAAUGGGCGGAAGCCUGAUGCAGCAACGCCGCGUGCGGGAUGACGGCCUUCGGGUUGUAAACCGCUUUCAGCAGGGGCGAAGCUUGUGGUGACGGUACCUGCAGAAGAAGCACCGGCUAACUACGUG